UACGUAGGGUGCAAGCGUUAAUCGGAAUUACUGGGCGUAAAGCGUGCGCAGGCGGUUUUGUAAGACAGGUGUGAAAUCCCCGGGCUUAACCUGGGAACUGCAUUUGUGACUGCAUAGCUAGAGUACGGUAGAGGGGGAUGGAAUUCCGCGUGUAGCAGUGAAAUGCGUAGAUAUGCGGAGGAACACCGAUGGCGAAGGCAAUCCCCUGGACCUGUACUGACGCUCAUGCACGAAAGCGUGGGGAGCAAACCGG
Molecule: ribosomal RNA, 253 nt
Filed under: uncultured bacterium
Lineage: Bacteria
Description: partial 16S ribosomal RNA
Rfam family: Bacterial small subunit ribosomal RNA
Source: RNAcentral